Molecule: non-coding RNA, 479 nt
Organism: Nicotiana tabacum (common tobacco)
Lineage: Eukaryota; Viridiplantae; Streptophyta; Magnoliopsida; Solanales; Solanaceae
Source: RefSeq, a predicted model, not a curated record
CUAUAGCGUUUUUCAAAUAGAAAACAAACAUUUGAUUGAUAACUGAUUAGUUGACAUCUUGUAACGAUUUGUUAGGCAGAAGAGCAAAAACAUGGCAUCAUUUCUCGUCUUGAAAUCCUAUAAAAAGAAAGACAUUUCUUUGGUGUUGCAUUUAUAUUUUUAAUAAGGAAGGAAGGCGCAAAAUUUAUUGGAGAUGAUCUAUUGAGUGGUUAGUUCCCAGCUGUAUUUUGAAAGAUCUUUUUUGGGUUCCUUAAUUCUGGAAUAAGGGCUGAAAUGGUUAGAGAUGAUGGCCGAGACAGGGAUAAAGUCAGGACGAGGACAAAUUUGUCUUGCUAUGCAUAAGAAAUAAGAUUGGAUCGUAUGUGAGUGAGGGGCAAGAGAAAUAUUUUUGGAUGAUGUUUACUUCACUUGUGGAAUAAGAGGAUCAUCGGGUGGCAGCAAUGAAAAUCACCAAGCAAAUACAUAGUGCUUUUUAUAUG